GCCCCUCCAGCCAAUAGCCUCCCCCGAGGAUCCGGGUCCCGCCCCAGGUGACGGGCACGGCGGGGGGGAGCUCGUCCGCAGAGCGAGCCCGAGGCGUUCCCCGCCAGACGCCCGCUUCAGAGUCAUUCACACUCUUUGCUUUUGAGUCGAAAAGGCUCACGUAGCCCAGGCUGACCUCCAACUGUGUAGCCGAGGAUAACCCUCCAGCUGGGGUGAUGGGACCCCCUGCCCAGACCUACGGGUCAUCUGAGACUGAAGACUGCUGGGUGACUGUAGCCGGUGAUAGCUCAUGCGCCCACCAUUCACUCCUGAAACACGUGUGCCCACGCCUGCCUCCCCAGCUGCGAGGCUCACGUACAAGGAUCUGGAAUUGAAGUAAAGAGUUUGAAGGUCACAGGGUCUAGCCAAGUUCGAACCCCCGGCCCAGCAGUUCUUUGCCAUCUGUCACCCUCUCCGUGAAGACAGAAUCGACCUGAAACUUGGUCUUCGGCCCAGGCUGGCUUUGAACCUAAGCUAAUCCUGCUGCCUCAGGCUUCCCAGUACUGGGAUGACAAGUGUGUGUCACGGCCGAGGAAUCUCCUGUCUCAGACGUGAAAACAUUUACUCUCUGGUUUUUACACAACGACAGAAAGUUGACUGACCUCGGAACUAAUGCGCGAUCACGGAGAAGGCAUCUCGGUGCCCAAAUGAGCUGCUAUUUGACGAAAGACCUAGUGGCUCAGGGGCAGCGCCUCACGGUUGUACCCCGACUUGUUUGUCUACGGAUGGGAAGACGUCUCGCACCCAGCUGCCCUCCGCUCCGGGUACCCCACCCUGUCUGUGCCUGCUGGGAUAAAAGCUCUGUAGAAUCUA
This is a long non-coding RNA of Arvicola amphibius (Eurasian water vole), 852 nucleotides long. RefSeq lists it as uncharacterized. The record is from RefSeq and is a predicted model, not a curated record. The transcript is spliced from 2 exons. NCBI's taxonomy places the organism in Eukaryota, Metazoa, Chordata, Mammalia, Rodentia, Cricetidae.